This 330-nucleotide small nuclear RNA is filed under the name Myotis davidii. RNAcentral describes it as "7SK RNA". It matches the Rfam family "7SK RNA". Rfam says of the family: 7SK was discovered as an abundant small nuclear RNA in the mid-70s but a possible function has only recently been suggested. Two independent studies have found that 7SK RNA binds the CDK9/cyclin T complex (known as elongation factor P-TEFb). P-TEFb activates transcription by phosphorylating the C-terminal domain of RNA polymerase II. The record is from Rfam by way of RNAcentral. Lineage: Eukaryota; Metazoa; Chordata; Mammalia; Chiroptera; Vespertilionidae.
GGAUGUGAGGGCGAUCUGGCUGCGACAUCUGUCACCCCAUUGAUCGCCAGGGUUGAUUCGGCUGAUCUGGCUGGCUAGGCGGGUGUCCCCCUCCUCCCUCACCGAUCCAUGUGCGUCCCUCCCGAAGCUGCGCGCUCAGUCGAAGAGGACGACCUUCCCCCCCGAGGAGAGAACCGGUCUUCGGUGAAGGGUAUACGAGUAGCUGCGCUCCCCUGCUAGAACCUCCAAACAAGCUCUCAAGGUCCAAAGACUCCAUAUGAUCAUAUGAUAUUCUCAUUUUUGGAUUCUUUUUUUCAAAAGUCAUAUAUAUAUAUAUAUAUGACCUUUUUU